UAUUAAAAUUUUAUCCGUUCUCCUAUUAAAAACUAAUGCAGCUGACAAAUUAAUCAGACAGUUACAUGUAAUGUGUCACGUAUACCUCAUGUUGACGUACAGGGACCAAUUUUUAACAGUAGAAAUGGAUAGAAUUUUUAACA
Molecule: microRNA precursor, 143 nt
Filed under: Gossypium hirsutum (cotton)
Lineage: Eukaryota; Viridiplantae; Streptophyta; Magnoliopsida; Malvales; Malvaceae
Description: MIR7502 microRNA precursor family
Rfam family: MIR7502 microRNA precursor family
Source: Rfam by way of RNAcentral